RNAcentral lists this signal recognition particle RNA (263 nucleotides) under Cloacimonas sp. (SeqCode). RNAcentral describes it as "signal recognition particle sRNA large type". It matches the Rfam family "Bacterial large signal recognition particle RNA". From Rfam's summary of the family: The signal recognition particle (SRP) is a universally conserved ribonucleoprotein involved in the co-translational targeting of proteins to membranes. Archaeal SRP consists of a 7S RNA and homologues of the eukaryotic SRP19 and SRP54 proteins. In most bacteria, the SRP consists of a 4.5S RNA and the Ffh protein (a homologue of the eukaryotic SRP54 protein). The record is from RNAcentral. Lineage: Bacteria; Pseudomonadati; Candidatus Cloacimonadota; Cloacimonadia (SeqCode); Cloacimonadales (SeqCode); Cloacimonadaceae (SeqCode).
GUGUGCUAAGCGGGGAGUUAGCGGUGCCCUGUACUCGCAAUCCGCUAUAGCGAGGUCGAAUGCCUGUGGAAGAAUAUCGAUUUUCACUUAAAGGUAGAAAAGUGGUGUUGAUAAUCAAGCCCGGCGCAAUUGCAAACUGUGAACCGUGUCAGGUCCGGAAGGAAGCAGCACUAAGCAGAGCUUGGAAUGUGCCGCCGGUACACUUGGUUUGAGCUAACUAUCUAUUCUUUUCUUGAAAUAGAUAUCGACCACGGGCUGCACAC